CAACUUGAGCAACAAGGGAUGAAGGAUGGUGCCUGGCAAAGGCUUGGUCAUAAGGUCAGCGAGCUGGCGAGUGGUAGGAACAUGGAACAGUUGCAAUCAGAAUAAAAGAGACCCAUAGAAGAAGUCCCCUUAAGAUAUCGCAGGACAUGAAGAGCAGCAGUCAUAUGAGGGAGUCUGGGGCAUUUGAGGAAUUGACUCAGAUGUUGCACAGCAAAACAUAUGUCAGGCCUAGUAUGGGUCAGAAAUAAGAGCUUACCAACAAGACUCCUAUACUGAUAAGGAGAAGGUAAAAGGUCACUAGAAUCAGCAUGUUUGCAUAAGAAGGUCAGCGAGCUGGCGAGUGGUAGGGACAUGGAACAGUUGAAUUAGGCCACUCUGGAGCAGAUCGCGCACAAAAUGACAAUCCACUUCAAUGUGUUUAGUCCGUUCANAAGGAAUUGACUCAGAUGUUGCACAGCAAAACAGAUGUCAGGCCUAGUAUGGGUCAGAAAUAUGAGCUUACCAACAAGACUCUUAUACUGAUCAAGAGAAGGUAAAAGGUCACCAGAAUCAACAUGUAAUUUUGCAUUGAUGUCCAAAGGACAGACAACAGAAGAAAC
RNAcentral lists this long non-coding RNA (599 nucleotides) under Nicotiana benthamiana. RNAcentral's name for it is "long non-coding RNA (NBEN_LNC009587)". The record is from RNAcentral. Lineage: Eukaryota; Viridiplantae; Streptophyta; Magnoliopsida; Solanales; Solanaceae.